Molecule: ribosomal RNA, 332 nt
Filed under: uncultured eukaryote
Lineage: Eukaryota
Description: partial 18S ribosomal RNA
Rfam family: Eukaryotic small subunit ribosomal RNA
Source: RNAcentral
CCCUUAGAUGUCCUGGGCUGCACGCGCGCUACACUGGAAGUUACGGAUUGAGAUACUACCUUGUCCGAAAUGGUCCGGGUAAUCACCUAAAAGCUUGUCAUAAUUGGAAUGGAUUAUUGUAACUAGUAAUCCUGAACGAGGAAUUCCUAGUAAGUCCCAGUCAACAGCUGGUACUGAUUACGUCCCUGCCCUUUGUACACACCGCCCGUCGCUACUACUGAUUGGACGGUUAAGCAAGAUUUUUAAACACUGACAGUGUGUAGUUCACGCUAUACUACAGUGAGAAGAAGAAGAUCGAGCUUACUUGUCUAGAGGAAGUAAAAGUCGUAACA